UGCAACGUUGCCACGCGACGCGCAGCA
Molecule: small RNA, 27 nt
Filed under: Bombyx mori (domestic silkworm)
Lineage: Eukaryota; Metazoa; Arthropoda; Insecta; Lepidoptera; Bombycidae
Description: ovarian small RNA-33335
Source: RNAcentral